AUUGAACGCUAGCGGGAUGCCUUACACAUGCAAGUCGAACGGAGUGGCGAACGGGUGCGUAAUGUAUCGGAACGUGCCCAGUAGCGGUGGAUAACUACGCGAAAGCGUAGCUAAUACCGCAUACUAUUGGAGCGGCCGAUAUCGGAUUCGAUAGUGGGUGGGGGAACGCCUCACAAAGGCGACGAUCCGUAGCUGGUUUGAGAGGACGACCAGCCACACUGGGACUGAGCAACGCCCCAGACUCCUACGGGAGGAAGCAGUGGGGAAUUGUGGACAAGGGGGGAAACCCUGAUGCAGCAAUCCCGCGUGUGCGAUGAGGGCCUUCGGGUUGUAAAGUACUUUUGGCAGGAAGGCGGUACCUGAAGAAUAAGCACCGGCUAACUACGUGCCAGCAGCCGCGGUAAUAC
This 407-nucleotide ribosomal RNA is filed under the name uncultured bacterium. RNAcentral's name for it is "partial 16S ribosomal RNA". It matches the Rfam family "Bacterial small subunit ribosomal RNA", at positions 30 to 526 of the family's 1533-position model. The record is from RNAcentral.